Molecule: ribosomal RNA, 498 nt
Filed under: uncultured bacterium
Lineage: Bacteria
Description: partial 16S ribosomal RNA
Rfam family: Bacterial small subunit ribosomal RNA
Source: RNAcentral
GAUGAACGCUGGCGGCGUGCCUAAUACAUGCAAGUCGAACGGGAGCGACCGGUGCUUGCACGGGUUCAUCUAGUGGCGGACGGGUGAGUAACACGUGGGUACCCUGUUCAUCAGGGGGGGAUAACAUCCGGGAACGGAUGCUCAAACCGCAUAGGUCUUCGAGCCGCAUGGCUUUUCGAGGCAAAGAGGCGCAUGCUACUGUUGAUGGGUGGACCCGGGGUGCAUGAGCUAGUUGGUGGGGUAACGGCUCCCCAAGGCCGCGAUUCGUAGCCGCCCUGAGAGGCUGAUCAGCCACACUGGAACUGAGACACGGCCCAGACUCCUACGGGAGGCAGCAGUGGGGAAUAUUCGACAAUGGGCGCAAGUCUGACGGAGCAACGCCGCGUGAGUGAAGAAGGUUUUCGGAUCGUAAAGCUCUGUUGGUAGGGAAGAACGGGUGCUAGAGUAAAUCUUGGUGUCUUGACGGUACCUAACGAGUAAGCCACGGCUAACUACGUG